UGGUUCAGUUCAGCAG
RNAcentral lists this microRNA (16 nucleotides) under Corchorus olitorius. Its description in RNAcentral is "mdo-miR-". Lineage: Eukaryota; Viridiplantae; Streptophyta; Magnoliopsida; Malvales; Malvaceae. The record is from RNAcentral.